GAACGCUGGCGGCAGGCUUAACACAUGCAAGUCGAAACGGUAACAGAGAAUAGCUUGCUAUUUUGCUGACGAGUGGCGGACGGGUGAGUAAUGCUUGGGUGUAUGCCAAUAGGUGGGGGACAACAGUUGGAAACGACUGCUAAUACCGCAUAAACUCUUCGGAGCAAAGCAGGGGACCUUCGGGCCUUGCGCCUAUUGAUUAGCCCAAGUGGGAUUAGCUAGUUGGUAAGGUAAUGGCUUACCAAGGCGACGAUCCCUAGCUGGUCUUAGAGGAUGACCAGCCACACUGGAACUGAGACACGGUCCAGACUCCUACGGGAGGCAGCAGUGGGAAUAUUGCACAAUGGAGGAAACUCUGAUGCAGCCAUGCCGCGUGUGUGAAGAAGGCUUUCGGGUUGUAAAGCACUUUCAGCGAGGAGGAAAGGGCGUAGGUUAAUAACUUGCGUCUGUGACGUUACUCGCAGAAGAAGCACCGGCUAACUCUGUG
Molecule: ribosomal RNA, 487 nt
Filed under: uncultured bacterium
Lineage: Bacteria
Description: bacterial SSU rRNA
Rfam family: Bacterial small subunit ribosomal RNA
Source: RNAcentral